Girardinichthys multiradiatus is the source of this 5767-nucleotide long non-coding RNA. RefSeq lists it as uncharacterized. The record is from RefSeq and is a predicted model, not a curated record. The transcript has 2 exons. NCBI's taxonomy places the organism in Eukaryota, Metazoa, Chordata, Actinopteri, Cyprinodontiformes, Goodeidae.
CCCUAACCAGUAAGUUAGGGGGAAGGCGAUUAGGGUGCCAGAAAGCUCUAAACUCUUGUGGAGACGUCUGCAGGUUUUAAAGGAAUAUUCCCCCAUUUACCAGUAAGUAAAGGGUGUGGCAAGGCUGUCAGUAUGGGACAGCGGUUCAGUUCUAAGGGAUUACCUCCUCCUCCCCAGGGAGAAACGUGUGAAAAAUAUGCGCCACAACGCACCAAGUGCAUCAAUAUAUGGGUUAAAACCUUUGCAGCUCUACAAUAUUAAAAAGGACGGAGGAAGCGACAAAAGAGAAAAUAGGAAAAAAAAAGACAAUGGAUGACAGCGCUCCCUGAACAUUAGACACCUGCCCUCCCCACGGCUUCACUCCACCAGAGACGCUACUUCAGCAUGACCUGAAAGGGAGAGGUCCUGCCCGCCUGCUGCAGAUGACAGCGUGAGAGUUUCCACCAGAACAAAACUCAGAAGAAGUCUGGUAAAAAGCCCAAAACCCACUGAGAUGGGCAACAAUCCAUGCUGUUUGCCAGAGCCAGACGAGCGUUACACUGGACUCAUCUUGAGAGCACAUCUUAUGCAGGCAGAGGAGAAACAGGCUGGAACAAAGUUUUCCCUCCCUCCUGAAGAAGUUAAAGUGGACAAGGAAAGAGCAAAUGUCCACCAACAGGCCAGGGGAGGGCCUGUGUUUUUGGACUGAUAGGGGACUGUAUGCCACAACAGUGCGACUCUGGAGCAGUCAAGAAACUGAGGGGGGUAACGUACAAACACACACACAUUUGCAAAUAUCUUUUCUGUUUUUCUGCAAUGAAGAAAGCUUAUUAACUGCAGCUGUUGUGGUUUUGAUGUUGACAGACACAACAAGAGAUUGAAUAUUAUUCCUGUGUUAAAGAGAUUCUUUUCCAAAAGGGUCAUAAAAUAAUUGUUUUAGAGAAACAAGUUCUCUCUCUCAUCAUGGUAGAUUCAGGGUCAAGUAUUGCUACUAAAAGUCCUUAAAAAACAAAGAGGAAUUUUAAACACCUCCAAAACUCAGUGGUAACCAUGUGUUUCUAUGUCAGCCUCAGGACAGAUCCCAUGGAGGACCAUUUUAAAGUCCAUUGCAUGUGUAACACCUGAUGGACUCUCCUUCAGGUAUUGUUUCCUGUUGUCAGAGUGAACCCCGUUAAUCUAACAGGUAGAGACCUCUGAGAAUAGGGUUAGUUUCACUGCAGAGGGUCUCCCUGCGGUCUGACACAGUACUUCCUGUGGGGUACAGCUUUGGCCACAAGCGUUAACUGAAGCUUGAAUGAAAGGUGCAAAUUCAUUGUUUUCACAGCAGCCGCUGGGAAGAGGUUAGAUUAGCUGAUUUUCCCACUCUUCUGAUUUUAUGAAGCCUGCUGACUUACACUGUACCUCAUAUCUGGUCCUGACAAAACUAUGAAAAGCUUGACUCUGUAUUUUCUCUUCUGGGAAAAGAAAGAAAAUCUAAUCACGUCUCUGUUGCAUUGGAAUGUAAACUCACUUGUUAUUUUCUCUAACACCCCAACAGCAAAAUGUUUCAGAGUAAUGGGUUCAGUUAAACACAUCUUCCCUGACAAAAAACUGUAAAAUGACAAUGGAAAGAUGUAUUUUUUGGUUCUGAAGGUAAGUAAGAAUCUAAUUAAGUGGUACCACAAAAACUCUAAUAUCAUGUUCUCUAAAUACUCUGCUUAGAAAGGCCUUCUUCCAGAAACUGUGGAGCUAUUUCCCACCACAGAACCAGAUUUUGAAGCAUGCUUUUCCUUUAAUCCAAAACAGAUCUGUGUUGUUUUAUUAUUAUGUCUGAAGCUCCUUAUGAACUCUGGGUUAAAAGAAAAUAUGACGCGGGGCUAAUUUAUAGCUGUGAACUAGUGAAUGAAACCCCUAAAUCUGUUAUUGUUGAUGCCAGAAAUAAUAAACCCUUUAGUCUGAAAACAUUUAAGGUAUUUAAUACAUUUUCUUUAAUUUCUGCAGAAAGCUGGCAUCAGUGUUUAAAGCAGUGGUCCUCAACCUGUGGUUCCUGGACGCCUGAGGCCCGUUAGCCUGUUAGAUUGUGGGUCAGUGAAGAAAAUUUAAAUAAAUCAAUAAAGGUAUCAUUUAACAGAACAGAGUACAUUCAAAUAAACAAAUAAAUAAAAAAAAAAACAAAAUACUACACUUAUUAAAUAAAAGAUCUAAACCAAUGAUGGGUUCCGGCUUUAAAAUCUAUUAAUACUCAAAUAAGGAUUCUACUCUGGGGAACACAAAUUAAUAAAGGCUCCUCUUUUAACAUUAAAGAGGAAGAGCGGCUCAAACUCCAGUCUCCUCCCCAGGGAGAAAUGUUUGAUUUCAUGACAACUUGGAUGAGUUUGAAAAUGUUCAAAUAAAGGUUUCAUUUUUGGGGACUUAUAGGGUAAAAGAAUAAUUAAGUCCUUCACUACCUAGGAGUACCAAACAAAAUUCACAUUAGUACAAAAGAUAAUUUCAAAUUACCAAUAUUUCAAAUAAUGGAACAUUUUCUAGCCUUUGAAUUAUAACAGAGGGGUCCUGAGAAUAACUUUCUUCCCCAACUUUCAAAACUUUAAUAACCCUAAUUUAAAGUUUAUUAUGUCCAGUCCCUUUUGAAGUGCUAUAAUGAAAUAAAAUCUAGUUGGGGAUUAAACUUAAUUGUUAAUUUUUCUGUUUAAGUUUUAACACUGCAGUGUUUGUUUGUUUAGUGUCUGGGUAUAACCAUAAAAUGUCAAUGCCGGCCUAAAAAUAAUUGUCUCCAUUUAACCUGAGCAGAGAAAUUCUGAAAUACAGCUGUGAUCAAAUUAAACUUAACAAAAAGAGAAAUUUAACAGCAACUCUGCUGUCAUUACAAUGUUUAAAGUAUGAAGAAUUAGCAAAGAGUUUCAGCAGCAAAACAUUUGGAUUCAUAUCAGAGAAGACUGCUGCUGUGCUCCUAAAUUAUUUGAGAUCUCUUUGAAUUGUGUUCACUUAUCUUUAAACAGGAUCCUGAUGAUUAUCAAUCAAAGCAUCUGGAGAUAUGCUAAGAAAAACAUUUUUGAAAAGAGAUUGUUGAAAAUGUCUUUAAAUUCCUGAAGCUUCAUUAAGUCACUGAGUAGAUUUGACGUAAUUAAAACAUUUAUUAAAUUUGAUAUUUACAAUUUGAUCAGGAAAAAAACUAAAUUUUGUCCAACUGUGUCUCUGUCUGUGAAGUUUGUCUUUGUUUCAUUGGAAUGAAUGAGUGUUUGUUCAUAUGUUGCAUGCUUUAAUAAUUCAUGUUUAGAAUAAUGUUUUCUAACCCAGACUGAUUAAAAACUUCAGUUUUCAGGAAAGCUUCUUAACUCCUAAGAAGCAGCGUGUUUUUGAUGUAAGUUGAUGUUAACAGGUCUGCAGUCUAAGGUCCACUAAGAUGGGUUGGAAGGACAGAACCGUGGGGACCGCCCACAGCCCACCUACAGACAGCCUAUCAGAGGUUGGUUCCACCUGGCUCCGCCCACCUAUUAGGUUUGAACACACCUUAACUUCCAUGGAAACGCUCACCCCUCCCUUCCUGAGUUCAACACUGUUUGAAAGAAAAGUGAAAAUAAUAAAGGGGGCUUGUUAUGAUAACUGCGUUAAAAUGCGGGUUUAUAAAAUGAUUGAGUAAGGAUAAAGCAUGAAAUUUAGAUUUAUGUGUUUUUAUAAUUAAAAUGUUAAUGAAAUCGUUUCAACUUCUUUAAAUAAUUAGUUUUGCUUGCAGAAUCAUUGGGGAUUUAAUGGUGCCAAUAAAUUAAACUAUCUGAAAGUCCAAGAUAUGCCACAAAUAAGGAAUAUAUUUUGAUAACAAAUCUGAGUCAUGAUCCUACACUAUAAUUAAUGAUUACGAUCAAUUGGUAGGAUUUAUGCAUUAGACCUGCAUGAUUUAAAUUUACUCAUCUUAAACCAAGACAAAUCAAGAUGAUGUGACUCAUUUAUAAUUGAAACAUUAAAAUGAACUUCAUAACAUUUAAUGUUUUAUUGUUGAAACUGAGGUGACUGCAAAUAGAAACAACCAGGUUGUUUUUUCCUAUAUUUAUUUAGAUAUAUUCACAGUGGUGAACUGAGACCAUUGACUCAUGACAUUAUCGACAGACACACAAUCCUCCACUUCUGCCAGGAGUCCAUCGUGUAUCCGGAGAUAACGUCCCGUCCGGGCCAGCUGGCUCUCCCGACCCCUGUCUUCUCGUCAAGAAAUUUUUAUCAAUUGCAUUGAGAGACCAGCUGACCAAAUCCAUAUUUUGGAAGAAUUUGGAAGACAUGCAAAAAGAGGCUCCAAAAAAAGACAAGACACAGAGCUGAAGCAGGGCAGAUAUGGGAGGGGUGCGGGAGACAGAGAAAAAGCGUCCACCUCCACUGAGAGCAGGAAAAGAAAGAGAAAUAUCUCUAUUUGAAGAUUUUUGAGCUUUAAUAUAAUGCAAACUGAGUUAAGCAUCUGGAGUAAUAAUGAACCACUGCAUUUGAAUUUCAUGCAAAAUAAGGGUAGACAUAAGUUUCAUUUUGUUUUGCUGCAAUGAAAACACAAAUAAUUUAUUUAUUCUAGAACUGUUGAAGGCCACUGAAAACAGCUAUUACUGUAGAAGUUUGUCUGCAACCGUAUAGUCAACCGUACUGGGUUAUUGGACCAGCCAAGGAAGAGACAUCGAAGGUUCAAACGCAAACAGAGUCCAUUCCAAGGUGCUGCUGGUGGCUCGAACAGUGGCUGCUUAUCGCAGACAGCUUCCUAAUCCACCAGAUGACUCCACUCCUGAAGGACAUUGGCCCAAGCCAAUGGGCUAGAGCACUAGGCCUGCUCCAACCAUCACAGGAUGUAAAGAAAGGAGAUCACCCCAUGAAGGACAACGGCCCACCACAAGCCAAAGAACUGUAAGCUAAUCACUGGAGAGUGAUUGAAGAAGUGGGUGAAGAACACUGUUUUUACAAUGGGCAUAAUUAUCCCUUGGGCAGUGUAACGUUUGCUUUAAAUAAGAUCACGGAUGAGAAGAAGAUGUCUUUUAUCUACCUCAAGUCUCCCAAAUUGAAGAUGUACAGAAGAUGGGACUUUUUGCAUGUUUGUUCUCUGUCUUCAUCAUUGUUAUGUUAUGUUGGUUUAUUCUUUCCAUGUUUUUUUUUAUCAAAGCUUAUCAGGUCUGACAGAGCUAUCUCCACAUCAGAACAACUGAGACAGGUAUCCGUAAAGGUAACCCUAAGAAUACCACAGUGGCAGCGAGGAUUGACCUCUGUGACGUGGUACCCCGCAGAGGUCAUGACAGUUGGUUUCAGAAUGGAGUAACAUGUUCAGAUGUUUUAGUGCUUGAGAAAACAGGAAGCUGUGUUAUGUAUUAACUGUUGUCUAUGUAGUACAGAGGCAAGUGAAAAGGGCAUUACUGCCAGCCAACUUGUAGCAAAUGCAUGGAUAUGUUUUGCAGAGUUAGUUUUUGAUAGGAAACUCCAAACUUGCUUUAUAUUCUUCAAAUGAUAAAAGUCAGAUUUAGUAAUAUGGGUAAUGUGGCUUUUGACAUUUAGAUUAAUGUCUAUUAUCACACCCAAAUUCUGUGCUUAAUUUCUGAAUUUAACAGACACCGAACUGGAAUAGGCUUUAAUUUUCUGUCUGUGAGGUUUUGCAGCAAAGAGAUUUAUUUCUGUUUUAUAUUUAUUAAGUUGUAGGAAAUUGUCUGACAUCCAGAUAUUGAUAUAAUUAAGCCAUCAGACAAUAAAAACUGUACAGUUACAAGUCGUCUCCAUGGUUAUAUUUUAUCUUGUGUUUCUAAAUAAUGUGCAAGAGAAACCAUAUAAAGAUUAAAUGCUAUUGGUGUCAUGA